GAUCCUGCCAGUAGUCAUAUGCUUGUCUCAAAGAUUAAGCCAUGCAUGUGCAAGUACACACCGCCUUAAGGUGAGACCGCGAAUGGCUCAUUAAAUCAGUUAUGGUUCAUUAGGUGAUUCCAAUCCUACUUGGAUAACUGUGGUAAUUCUAGAGCUAAUACAUGCCAGGAAGCUCCGACCUCCCGGGACGAGCGCUUUUAUUAGACCAAGACCAAUCGGGCCUCGUGUCCGUUUCCUUUGGUGACUCUGAAUAACCUUUUGAAGAUCGCAAGGUCUCGAACCGGCGACGCACCUUUCAAAUGUCUGCCUUAUCAACUGUCGAUGGUAGGUCAUGUGCCUACCAUGGUUGUAACGGGUAACGGAGAAUCAGGGUUCGACUCCGGAGAGGGAGCCUGAGAAACGGCUGCCACAUCCAAGGAAGGCAGCAGGCACGCAAAUUACCCACUCCCGGCACGGGGAGGUAGUGACGAAAAAUAACGAUGCGGGACUCUUCCGAGGCCCCGUAAUCGGAAUGAGUACACUUUAAAUCCUUUAACGAGGAUCAAUUGGAGGGCAAGUCUGGUGCCAGCAGCCGCGGUAAUUCCAGCUCCAAUAGCGUAUACUAAAGUUGUUGCGGCUAAAAAGCUCGUAGUUGGAUUUCAGUCGUAGGUCGGUGGUCCACCGCCCGGUGGCUACUGCCUGGCCUAGGCACCUUGCCGGCUCUCCCACGAUUCUCUUCACUGGGUGUCGUGGGUGGCCGGAACGUUUACUUUGAAAAAAUUAGAGUGCUCUAAGCAGGCGCCGCAGCCUGAAUAACACAGCAUGGAAUAAUGGAACAGGACCUUGGGUCUGUUUUGUUGGUCUUACGCCGCCAAGGUAAUGAUUAAUAGGGACGGACGGGGGCAUUCGUAUUGCGACGCUAGAGGUGAAAUUCUUGGACCGUCGCAAGACGAACUACUGCGAAAGCAUUUGCCAAGAACGUUUUCAUUAAUCAAGAACGAAAGUCAGAGGUUCGAAGGCGAUCAGAUACCGCCCUAGUUCUGACCAUAAACGAUGCCAACCAGCGAUCCGCCGGAGUUACUCCCAUGACUCGGCGGGCAGCUUCCGGGAAACCAAAGUGUUUGGGUUCCGGGGGAAGUAUGGUUGCAAAGCUGAAACUUAAAGGAAUUGACGGAAGGGCACCACCAGGAGUGGAGCCUGCGGCUUAAUUUGACUCAACACGGGACACCUCACCCGGCCCGGACACCGGAAGGAUUGACAGACUGAGAGCUCUUUCUUGAUUCGGUGGGUGGUGGUGCAUGGCCGUUCUUAGUUGGUGGAGCGAUCUGUCUGGUUAAUUCCGAUA
Molecule: ribosomal RNA, 1324 nt
Filed under: Phryssonotus sp. Coastal Vic
Lineage: Eukaryota; Metazoa; Arthropoda; Diplopoda; Polyxenida; Synxenidae
Description: SSU rRNA
Rfam family: Eukaryotic small subunit ribosomal RNA
Source: RNAcentral